Molecule: ribosomal RNA, 292 nt
Filed under: uncultured Acidobacteriota bacterium
Lineage: Bacteria; Pseudomonadati; Acidobacteriota
Description: uncultured Acidobacteria bacterium partial 16S ribosomal RNA
Source: RNAcentral
GGACUACCGGGGUAUCUAAUCCCGUUUGCUCCCCUGGCUUUCGCGCAUCAGCGUCAGUGUCAGCCCAGCAACCCGUCUUCACCUCAGGUGUUCCUCUUGAUAUCUACGCAUUUCACCGCUACACCAAGAAUUCCGAUUGCCCCUUCUGCACUCUAGCACAACAGUUUCACUUGGCCGUUCUGAGUUAAGCUCAGAGAUUUCACAAGUGACUUGUCACGCCGCCUACGCGCCCUUUACGCCCAGUAAAUCCGAACAACGCUUGGUCCCUACGUAUUACCGCGGCUGCUGGCAC